GACGAACGCUGGCGGCGUGCCUAAUACAUGCAAGUCGAGCGGACGAAUCGAAAGCUUGCUUUUGAUUCGUUAGCGGCGGACGGGUGAGUAACACGUGGGCAACCUGCCCUGUAGACGGGGAUAACACCGAGAAAUCGGUGCUAAUACCGGAUAACACGAAAUGUCGCAUGACGUUUCGUUGAAAGACGGCGCAAGCUGCCGCUACAGGAUGGGCCCGCGCCGCAUUAGCUAGUUGGUGAGGUAACGGCUCACCAAGGCGACGAUACGUAGCCGACCUGAGAGGGUGAUCGGCCACACUGGGACUGAGACACGGCCCAGACUCCUACGGGAGGCAGCAGUAGGGAAUCUUCCGCAAUGGACGAAAGUCUGACGGAGCAACGCCGCGUGAGCGAAGAAGGCCUUCGGGUCGUAAAGCUCUGUUGUUAGGGAAGAACAAGUAACGCAGUAACUGGCGUUACCGUGACGGUACCUAACGAGAAAGCCACGGCUAACUACGUG
RNAcentral lists this ribosomal RNA (498 nucleotides) under uncultured bacterium. RNAcentral's name for it is "partial 16S ribosomal RNA". It matches the Rfam family "Bacterial small subunit ribosomal RNA", at positions 28 to 507 of the family's 1533-position model. The record is from RNAcentral.